Molecule: ribosomal RNA, 397 nt
Filed under: bacterium enrichment culture
Lineage: Bacteria
Description: bacterial SSU rRNA
Rfam family: Bacterial small subunit ribosomal RNA
Source: RNAcentral
UAAUACAGAGGGUGCAAGCGUUAAUCGGAGUUACUGGGCGUAAAGGGCGCGUAGGCUGAUACUUAAGUCGGUUGUGAAAUCCCCGGGCUUAACCUGGGAAUUGCAGUCGAUACUGGGUGUCUAGAGUAUGGUAUAGGAAAGCGGAAUUCUCGGUGUAGUGGUUAAAUACGUAGAUAUCGAGAAGAACAUCAGUGGCGAAGGCGGCUUUCUGGGCCAAUACUGACGCUGAGGCGCGAAAGCGUGGGGAGCAAACAGGAUUAGAUACCCUGGUAGUCCACGCUGUAAACGAUGAGAACUAGAUGUUGCCCGACUUUUGUUGGGCAGUAUCGUAGCUAACGCAUUAAGUUCUCCGCCUGGGGAGUACGGUCGCAAGAUUAAAACUUAAAGGAAUUGACGG